This is a long non-coding RNA of Apis florea (little honeybee), 1061 nucleotides long. The record is from RefSeq and is a predicted model, not a curated record. NCBI's taxonomy places the organism in Eukaryota, Metazoa, Arthropoda, Insecta, Hymenoptera, Apidae.
UUUAACCGACGCGAUAUCGUGUCGACGGUAGAUAAAAAAGAAUAAGUAUACACAGAAAACCGCCAGAGGGGCAGUUAAACUGGAAGUUACAUCUGCCCGCCGCAAAGUGGCAGUAUCGCGUCUUUAGUUGUAUGUACUUUUCAAAAAGUAAACGAAGAACGCGAUAAAUUACUCGAAUUCACUCGAGUAACUUUUUAACGCGAAAUAACGUUUCCAUAAAAAGGAAAGUGGCAAACGGUAACUCGGUAUUUGAAAUAGCGUGGUUACUAAAUCGACUUGGAACGCAUGUUCACUGUAUACUUAGAGGUUAGCUACGACGUAUCAGAAACUAAAUUUCCGGGAUAUAAAUUAUUCGUGCUUAACUUCCGGAUCCUUGAAACAGAGUUCAAAGAGUUUCCAUUCCCAAUUAGAAAAGAUAUAUAUAUAUAUAUAAAUUUAAGUAAAAAAUUGCAAAACUAUAUAAACUUAAAUUUUUAAAUUUUUAAAAUGUAAUUUUAGAAUGAUAUUAACGCGAUACUUCUGCUAAUGUCAAUCAUUUGAACUGAAAUUUUGUUUGAACUGUUAACUGGAAGUUAUUAUUCUCUAUAAGCAAACACGCUCCAAGCUGUCGAACAUUUGUGUUUCGAGUACCAUCAACGUCUAGGUUAUGUGUCGUAUAACUUCCUUCAAAGAUGUACAAAAUUAAUUAAAUAUUAGCUUUCAAUUGCCAUCUUAUCAUUUAAAAUUCCAUUUGUCUCUCUGAAUUAAUUCACCAAAAAAAAAGAAAAAUUAAGAAUAUUUUCCACCGUAAAUGAAGCAAACGUUAAAUGUUGUAUAUCGAUAACUGACUAAGUUCGUGUUUUUAAACGUGACUUUUUAAAAAGAAAAGAGAAAAGAAGAUUAAAAGUGUAGUCAAGUAUACUUGACCAAGUGAUUAAGCUUCGAGGAAAGCCAUUUUCCACGUGUGGUGGAUCGAAUUAACUACCGCGGUUUUUUAUCGAUAUUGCCGCAGAACGACAUUAAUUAUAUUAAACGAGGAGGUAAACUCGCACUCGAGUCGAGCUUUCGAUCGCGCGAUCCUU